This 209-nucleotide long non-coding RNA is filed under the name Lathyrus oleraceus (garden pea). Its description in RNAcentral is "Pisum sativum (pea) long non-coding RNA (PSAT_LNC024366)". Lineage: Eukaryota; Viridiplantae; Streptophyta; Magnoliopsida; Fabales; Fabaceae. The record is from RNAcentral.
GAAGAGUUCUUUGAUAUUAUCCUAUGACCUAUAAACACCCCUCUUUUUAUCUUUGUUUAUCUUGUUUGGAUUUUUAUAAAGGAUUCCUUUUCUAGGAUGAUAUGUUUACUUGCUUACUAAGUUACUUGACUUUGAAUUGUGUGUGAAGUUAGGAUGAUUUAUCUUGUUCCUCUUGAAACUCAUGUUGAGUUGAAUUAUUGCAUAAGUCU